CUGAGAAUGUUUGAACAGGCAAAAUGAAGCCAAGACGUACAUUUGGCUAAGCAUACUAAACAUAUUUUCUUUUCAAGAUAAUCCAAACAGAAAGCCUCAGCUUUCUGGAGAAUGGAGAUGGUGUGUCAAAGGCCAAAAUUGGACUAAUGAAUGCAGAUCAACGAGGAACUGGGAAAUGCCCUGUGGGACCUCAUGCAGGCUCCAAUAUCAAAUUUGGUUCAAUCAUUCUCUGUCAGCAUCAGAGAAACUCAUCCACAGAGCAAUUAAAAGACUUAAUACAUGCUGUUAGAAACCACACUGCUCUGGAUAUGAUUAAGGACAGAGCAGCUUCAAUAAAUACAACAAAAAGUU
This is a long non-coding RNA of Peromyscus leucopus (white-footed mouse), 351 nucleotides long. RefSeq lists it as uncharacterized. The record is from RefSeq and is a predicted model, not a curated record. The transcript is spliced from 2 exons. Lineage: Eukaryota; Metazoa; Chordata; Mammalia; Rodentia; Cricetidae.